GUGGCAAGCAGAGGCCAGAUUAUAUACACUACCUUAAAGAUUAUGGUCUUUAUCCUCAGUGCAACAAAAUAAAGUCAUUGAAGAGUUUUAAGUAGAGGACUGACAUGAUGACAUGGCAAUUAACGGCCACCACAGCUGCCCUCUCCACCUCCACCACCGCAACUGCCACAUAUUGGUGCUUUCAAUGGGCCAUGCCCUGUGCUACGCAUUAUGAAGUUGAUCUCUUAAAAUCCUCACAACUAUGCUUUGAGAGACAGCGUUUUAUAGAACAUUCAGAAGGAAGACAUAAAGGGCUAACAUCUUUGGAGAAGAUAAAUAUGUGUUAUCUGAGAAUAACCUGAACCAUCAUUUGCAAAUGACAUAAUAAUCAUCAAGAAAUGCUGAAACCAAAGAAUAGCGGGUUAUUGAGUUCCACGGUUUUCUUUGAAUUUUUGCCGUAUCUUUGUUUUGUUUUCCUUGUGGGAGAAGGCCAUUAUGCACAUAUCCCAAAGGAUUUUGGAGAGUUGGCUUGUUCUGUUCUGUCUCCACACCUGGCUAAAUACUCUUUGGCACUAUACAGCUUGGGUAAGAUUUGGAUUUAUUGACCAAUAGGCUGGGGGUGACUAUGUCAAAGGAAUACAUUCAAUCAUUUUUCAGAAAGCUAAAUGAGCAGGAGGAUUCCAAAGACUUAGGAAUCUUAAAAAUUUGAAAAUUGACUUAGCAAAACCACAUCCAGAAAUUUAUAUCCAGGAAGCAGUGGAACAAGUAAACAAAGUUGCAAAUGCAAAGUUGU
Long non-coding RNA from Cercocebus atys (sooty mangabey), 772 nucleotides. RefSeq lists it as uncharacterized. NCBI's taxonomy places the organism in Eukaryota, Metazoa, Chordata, Mammalia, Primates, Cercopithecidae. The record is from RefSeq and is a predicted model, not a curated record. The transcript is spliced from 3 exons.